RNAcentral lists this small nuclear RNA (107 nucleotides) under Catagonus wagneri (Chacoan peccary). The record is from RNAcentral. Lineage: Eukaryota; Metazoa; Chordata; Mammalia; Artiodactyla; Tayassuidae.
AUGCUGACGCCAAUAGCACAUAUACUAAAAUUGUAAUGAUAUACAGAAAAUUAGCAUGGCCCUUGCACAAGGAUGUAACACAAAUUUGUGAAGUAUUUCAUAUGUUU